AUUUGUAUAGUUUAUAUAAAACCUUAUAUUUUCAUUAUAAAAAUAGAAUUUUUCUUACAAAUA
Molecule: transfer RNA, 63 nt
Filed under: Apteropeda orbiculata
Lineage: Eukaryota; Metazoa; Arthropoda; Insecta; Coleoptera; Chrysomelidae
Description: tRNA-Glu
Source: RNAcentral